CACGCGCCUGCCAUCUGCUCCGGCCUUCGUGGUGCUGGAGCAUGAGAACAACUGCACACAGCUCAUCCUCAGAAACACGUCAAGCGUUGCUUUCUUUCCAGCCGAGAAGGGGGAGCUCUGGGAAGGCUGCCAGCAAAAGCAACAGUUUGAAUUUUGGCUGAUAAUUCAACUAGGAGAAUUUCAAAGCAAUUUAUGGAUUAGCAGAGGAACUGCCAUAACAUGAAUAAAAACAGAGACCAAGCAAAACCACCCAAAGAGAAGACGCAAAAAUCUCUACAAGGAAACCUCGCGCAUCUCACCAGCAAACAGCCCAGCCCCUGAAGUACAAGCUGCAGUCCAGUACAACCCACUGGUUACCUUUGCAGCCACCCCACUCAGAGUCACAGCACUUCAGGGAAGUAAAACAAGAUGUGAAGCGGGCAGAUCGUUUACACCACAUCUUUUCUGGUGAUGCCUGGAAGUGGAGCUUUCUGUGAACUCUGGACUUCCAUUACAAAAGGCAAAAAUAAAACAGCAAAGAACUU
Molecule: non-coding RNA, 524 nt
Organism: Anas platyrhynchos (mallard)
Lineage: Eukaryota; Metazoa; Chordata; Aves; Anseriformes; Anatidae
Source: RefSeq, a predicted model, not a curated record